UUGCACCUGCCAAUUGAAUGGUCCGGUAAGGCCUCAGGAUUAUGGCCCCUGCUAUUUAGUUAGUGGGAGCCGUGAGAACUUGUCCAAACCUUAUCAUUUAAAGGAAGAUG
RNAcentral lists this ribosomal RNA (110 nucleotides) under uncultured eukaryote. RNAcentral's name for it is "partial small subunit ribosomal RNA". The record is from RNAcentral.